GCUGUUCCAGAAAACUCUGCCCUGUGUUGUCAGAAACUGGCUUUCAACUUGGGUUCCAGGAUGAAGACAUGUGGAACAGACCUGAACCUGUACCUCAGCUUUGACAUCUGACUUAGCCUUUGCCAAGGCCAGCCUGCAGAACCCAACCAGGAGCAGCUAAACCGCAGUCAACCUGCAAAUCCAUGAAAGAUAUACUCAGAAGAGAAUCACAAAUGAAAAGGAGUAUCCAUGUAAGGUACAGCAUCCUACCUUUCGUGAGCUACAACACAUCCUCACUCUUGCCAGCACUGUAACUGAUUUUUAAAAUCUAAUAAUCUGCAUUUCUUUGAUGUGAUGAAGUCAAUAUUAUUUUCAUGUCUUGGCCAUCUUAAGUUCCUGUUUUGUGAAUAUUCUAUUCCUAUUCCUCGUUAUGAAGGUUUUCAAAGAGUUAAGAUACGGAAGAUAGAAAUUAUUUUGGAAGUCUCUGUGAUUCAAAAUA
Saimiri boliviensis boliviensis (Bolivian squirrel monkey) is the source of this 478-nucleotide non-coding RNA. The record is from RefSeq and is a predicted model, not a curated record. NCBI's taxonomy places the organism in Eukaryota, Metazoa, Chordata, Mammalia, Primates, Cebidae.